UUUCUACUUCCUUUGUCGUACAAAGGAUGUCUUAAUUUUGACUAAAUUUGAAUGUAUUUAUACACUAAGUAAUAUCUAAAUACAUCUACAUUUUGGCAAACUCGAGACAUCUUUUGUUGGACGGAGGGAGCAGUAG
This is a non-coding RNA of Brachypodium distachyon (stiff brome), 136 nucleotides long. The record is from Rfam. Lineage: Eukaryota; Viridiplantae; Streptophyta; Magnoliopsida; Poales; Poaceae.